Molecule: ribosomal RNA, 774 nt
Filed under: uncultured bacterium
Lineage: Bacteria
Description: bacterial SSU rRNA
Rfam family: Bacterial small subunit ribosomal RNA
Source: RNAcentral
GGUGAGUAACACGUAGGUCAUCUGCCCCUAUCACAGACAUAACUCCGGGAAACCGGUGCUAAUAUCUGAUGAGGUCGCGAGAUCAAAGCUUCGGCGGAUAGGGAUGAGCCUGCGGCUGAUUAGCUAGUUGGUGAGGUAAUGGCUCACCAAGGCGACGAUCAGUAGCUGGUCUGAGAGGACGAACAGCCACACUGGAACUGAGACACGGUCCAGACUCCUACGGGAGGCAGCAGUGAGGAAUAUUGGUCAAUGGGAGCAAUCCUGAACCAGCAAUGCCGCGUGUGGGAUGACAGGGCUUCGCCUUGUAAACCACUGUCGGAUGGGACGAGAGGGAGCCUUGGGCUCCUGGGACGGUACCAUCAAAGGAAGGGUCGGCUAACUACGUGCCAGCAGCCGCGGUAAUACGUAGGACCCGAGCGUUGUCCGGAUUCACUGGGUAUAAAGGGUGCGUAGGCGGUCUUGUGCGUCAGAGGUGAAAUAUCCGGGCUUAACCCGGAGGGUGCCUUUGAUACGGCAGGACCUGAGUCCGAGAGAGGAUGAUGGAAUUCCUGGUGUAGCGGUGAAAUGCGUAGAUAUCAGGAGGAACACCGGUGGCGAAGGCGGUCAUCUGGCUCGGAACUGACGCUGAGGCACGAAAGCGCGGGGAUCAAACAGGAUUAGAUACCCUGGUAGUCCGCGCCCUAAACGAUGUAUGCUUGGUGUUGGGCCUUUCGGGGCUCAGUGCCGUAGGGAAUCUGAUCAGCAUACCACCUGGGGAGUACGAUCGCAAGGGUU